This 790-nucleotide ribosomal RNA is filed under the name uncultured euryarchaeote. RNAcentral's name for it is "bacterial SSU rRNA". It matches the Rfam family "Archaeal small subunit ribosomal RNA", at positions 85 to 877 of the family's 1478-position model. Lineage: Archaea; Methanobacteriati; Methanobacteriota. The record is from RNAcentral.
ACGGCUCAGUAACACGUAGGUAACCUACCCUUCGGACGGGCACAACCCCGGGAAACUGGGGCUAAUUCCCGAUAGGUACCCCCUUCUGGAAUGUGGGGAUAUCCAAAGCUCCGGCGCCGAAGGAUGGGCCUGCGGCCGAUUAGGUUGUUGGCGGGGUAACAGCCCACCAAGCCGACGAUCGGUACGGGCAGUGAGAGCUGUAGCCCGGGGAUGGGGACUGAGACAAGGCCCCAGGCCCUACGGGGCGCAGCAGGCGCGAAACCUUCACAAUGCACGAAAGUGUGAUGAGGGUACUCCGAGUGCGCAUACAUUGUAUGUGCUUUUCUGCAGCGUAAAUAGUUGCAGGAAUAAGGGCUGGGCAAGACCGGUGCCAGCCGCCGCGGUAACACCGGCAGCCCUAGUGGUGGCCGCUUUUAUUGGGCCUAAAGCGUCCGUAGCCGGACAGGCGAGUCUUUGGGUAAAUCCUACGUCUUAAGCGUGGGAAUUCUAAAGAUACUACCUGUCUUGAGGCCGGGAGAGGCUGGAGGUACUCCUGGGGUAGGGGUAAAAUCCUAUAAUCCUGGGGGGACCACCGAUGGCGAAGGCAUCCAGCUGGAACGGGCCUGACGGUGAGGGACGAAACCCAGGGGAGCGAGCCGGAUUAGAUACCCGGGUAGUCCUGGGCGUAAAAUGAUGUGGGCUUGGUGUGAGCGCAUCGACGAGGUGCGCUUGUGCCGUAGGGAAGCCGUUAAGCCCACCGCCUGGGGAGUACGGUCGCAAGGCUGAAACUUAAAGGAAUUGGCGGGGGGAG